UGAAAGGUGGCAAGACAGGUUUUAUUCAGACUCCUGCUUUGGGGGAGAUUCCAGGUCAGACAGAACUCAGCCCCAAUUAAAGGGGACUGAGGCUUCUGAAGGGAGAACAGAGAGAGAACAAAAAGGGAUGCUGGGGAAGUGAAGAAGGGGGAACAAAAAGGGCCUGGGGUUUAUGUGGAAAUGGAAAUUACAGAAGGGGUCACUAGAGAAUUCCUGAAAACAAUUUGGUGCAAGCUGGGUUGGGACAAUGCACAUUUUGUGGUUUGGUAGCAUUGCAUUUUCUUGAGUAAAGACUUAGUGCAAGGCAGGGGUGGGGCCACCUUUAGAGACACAGCCUAGAGCAGGCGGAGCCAGCCUGAAAUGUGGUCAAGUCUCAAGCAUGGUGCCUAAGGGAGCGAUCUGUGCCUCCUGAGAGCUCACUGUUCACAGGCCCAAGCCUUCAAACUCUAGAUAUUUUGCAUGUCAUAUGUAUUAGAUACUGUAUUCUUUCAAUAAAGUAAGCUAGAGAAAAGAAAAUGGUAUUAAGAAAAUCAUAGGAAGAGAAAAUAUAUUUACUAUCCAUUAAAUGGAAGUGGAUCAUCAUAAAGUAAAGGUCUUCAUACUCACCAUCAUCACAUCGAGUAGGCUGAGGAGCAGGAGGGGUGGGUCUUGCUGUCUUAGGGAUGGCAGAGGCAGAAGGAAGUCCGAGUAUUAGUGGCCGCAUGCAGUUCAAGCCUGUGCUGUUCAAAAGUCGACUGCGUAUUUUUCAGAACAGUGUCUGGCCCACUCAAUGUUUG
This 776-nucleotide long non-coding RNA is filed under the name Homo sapiens (human). Its description in RNAcentral is "non-protein coding lnc-STX18-1:9". Lineage: Eukaryota; Metazoa; Chordata; Mammalia; Primates; Hominidae. The record is from RNAcentral.